AACGAACGCUGGCGGCAGGCCUAACACAUGCAAGUCGAGCGAGCAUUUCGGUGCUAGCGGCGGACGGGUGAGUAACGCGUGGGAACGUGCCCUUUUCUGCGGAAUAGUCCUGGGAAACUGGGGGUAAUACCGCAUACGCCCUUUUGGGGAAAGAUUUAUCGGAGAAGGAUCGGCCCGCGUUGGAUUAGGUAGUUGGUGGGGUAAUGGCCCACCAAGCCGACGAUCCAUAGCUGGUUUGAGAGGAUGAUCAGCCACACUGGGACUGAGACACGGCCCAGACUCCUACGGGAGGCAGCAGUGGGGAAUCUUAGACAAUGGGGGCAACCCUGAUCUAGCCAUGCCGCGUGAGUGAUGAAGGCCUUAGGGUUGUAAAGCUCUUUCAGCUGGGAAGGUAAUGACGGUACCAGCAGAAGAAGCCCCGGCUAACUCCGUG
Molecule: ribosomal RNA, 433 nt
Filed under: uncultured bacterium
Lineage: Bacteria
Description: partial 16S ribosomal RNA
Rfam family: Bacterial small subunit ribosomal RNA
Source: RNAcentral